This is a non-coding RNA of Populus trichocarpa (black cottonwood), 153 nucleotides long. NCBI's taxonomy places the organism in Eukaryota, Viridiplantae, Streptophyta, Magnoliopsida, Malpighiales, Salicaceae. The record is from Rfam.
UCUAGAACUCGAGAUAUGAGUUGAACACUGAAUAAUGUCUAGGCUGCAGGACAGAUUCUGACUUCGCUUUUGUUGCUACAAUUUGAACUUGAAAAUGGCCAUUUUGAAUCUUGGACACUCAUGAGUUUUAGGCCAAUGUCUUAGCUUUCCAUC